AAGUCGUGACAAGGUUUCCGUAGGUGAACCUGCGGAAGGAUCAUUACUGUGAUUUACUACUACACUGCGUGAGCGGAACGAAAACAACAACACCUAAAAUGUGGAAUAUAGCAUAUAGUCGACAAGGGAAAUCUACGAAAAAACAAACAAAACUUUCAACAACGGAUCUCUUGGUUCUCGCAUCGAUGAAGAGCGCAGCGAAAUGCGAUACCUAGUGUGAAUUGCGGCCAUCGUGAAUCAUCGAGUUCUUGAACGCACAUUGCGCCCCUCGGCAUUCCGGGGGGCAUGCCUGUUUGAGCGUCGUUUCCAUCUUGCGCGUGCGCAGAGUUGGGGGAGCGGAGCGGACGACGUGUAAAGAGCGUCGGAGCUGCGACUCGCCUGGAAGGGAGCGAAGCUGGCCGAGCGAACUAGACUUUUUUUCAGGGACGCUUGGCGGCCGAGAGCGAGUGUUGCGAGACAACAAAAAGCUCGACCUCAAAUCAGGUAGGAAUACCCGCUGAACUUAA
This 506-nucleotide ribosomal RNA is filed under the name uncultured fungus. Its description in RNAcentral is "eukaryotic LSU rRNA". The stretch from base 151 to 303 matches the Rfam family "5.8S ribosomal RNA". The record is from RNAcentral. Lineage: Eukaryota; Fungi.